RNAcentral lists this ribosomal RNA (406 nucleotides) under uncultured bacterium. RNAcentral describes it as "partial 16S ribosomal RNA". It matches the Rfam family "Bacterial small subunit ribosomal RNA", at positions 30 to 526 of the family's 1533-position model. The record is from RNAcentral.
AUUGAACGCUGGCGGCAGGCCUAACACAUGCAAGUCGAACGAGUGGCGGACGGGUGAGUAAUGUCUGGGAAACUGCCCGAUGGAGGGGGAUAACUACUGGAAACGGUAGCUAAUACCGCAUACUAUCGGAUGUGCCCAUAUGGGAUUAGCUAGUAGGUGGGGUAAAGGCUCACCUAGGCGACGAUCCCUAGCUGGUCUGAGAGGAUGACCAGCCACACUGGAACUGAGACACGGUCCAGACUCCUACGGGAGGCAGCAGUGGGGAAGAUUGCACAAUGGGCGCAAGCCUGAUACAGCCAGGCCGCGUGUAUGAAGAAGGCCUUCGGGUGGUAAAGUACUUUCAGCGAGGAGGCGUUACUCGCAGAAGAAGCAUCGGCUAACUCCGUGCCAGCAGCCGCGGUAAUUC